RNAcentral lists this unclassified non-coding RNA (236 nucleotides) under Glomus sp. RNAcentral describes it as "partial contains 5.8S ribosomal RNA and internal transcribed spacer 2". The stretch from base 1 to 72 matches the Rfam family "5.8S ribosomal RNA", at positions 84 to 154 of the family's 154-position model. The record is from RNAcentral. Lineage: Eukaryota; Fungi; Glomeromycota; Glomeromycetes; Glomerales; Glomeraceae.
GUGAAUCAUCAAAUUUUUGAACGCAAAUUGCACUCUCCGGUUUUCCGGGAGAGUAGGCCUGUUUGGGGGUAAGCCUAACUAAAAUCGGCUUAGUAGUUUGCUGUUUUUUUCACGGUAACGUUGGUCGGAAUUUGGGUCAUCUUAAACCGAAAGGAUUUUAAGCGACCUAAAAUUUUCUUGCGAUCUCGCGAACGUUUCUAAGAUGUUCUUGCUCGUUCAAGGUAUCGAUAUUAGUC